Molecule: ribosomal RNA, 253 nt
Filed under: uncultured bacterium
Lineage: Bacteria
Description: partial 16S ribosomal RNA
Rfam family: Bacterial small subunit ribosomal RNA
Source: RNAcentral
UACGUAGGUGGCAAGCGUUGUUCGGAUUCACUGGGCAUAAAGGGCGCGUAGGCGGUUCCGAAAGUGGCAUGUGAAAUCCCCCGGCUCAACCGGGGAAGUGCGUGCCAAACUUCGGUGCUAGAGGGCGGUAGGGGGGACUGGAACUCUCGGUGGAGCGGUGAAAUGCGUAGAUAUCGAGAGGAACACCGGUGGCGAAGGCGAGUCCCUGGUCCGCUUCUGACGCUGAGGCGCGAAAGCGUGGGUAGCAAACAGG